RNAcentral lists this long non-coding RNA (231 nucleotides) under Actinidia chinensis (golden kiwifruit). RNAcentral's name for it is "long non-coding RNA (ACHI_LNC008330)". The record is from RNAcentral. Lineage: Eukaryota; Viridiplantae; Streptophyta; Magnoliopsida; Ericales; Actinidiaceae.
UGUGUUCACCGGACACAUUGCCCAAAGUAAAUUAAGAAAGAGAGGGAAAAACAUGUGAAAGUCCUAGCUUGCCAUUGUUGAGUGCUGGGAGUAGUAGACUAGGAUAGUGCCUCAAAACAUAUAUAUAAAAAAAAGAAGUUUUAAACUGCAUUUUGUUCUAUAUGCUUUAUGCAUUAAUAUUCAAUUUGGCUGUUGCAGUUGGUAUUUGUGGAUAUUGGUGGUCAUCUUCUU